ACCCUUUUAGCUCAAUGGUCGAGCGUUGGCUUUGUAAAUCACAGAUCGGUGGCUCGAUUCCACCCGGGCGCA
This is a transfer RNA of Phytophthora infestans T30-4, 72 nucleotides long. It matches the Rfam family "tRNA". From Rfam's summary of the family: Transfer RNA (tRNA) molecules are approximately 80 nucleotides in length. Their secondary structure includes four short double-helical elements and three loops (D, anti-codon, and T loops). Further hydrogen bonds mediate the characteristic L-shaped molecular structure. tRNAs have two regions of fundamental functional importance: the anti-codon, which is responsible for specific mRNA codon recognition, and the 3' end, to which the tRNAs corresponding amino acid is attached (by aminoacyl-tRNA synthetases). tRNAs cope with the degeneracy of the genetic code in two manners: having more than one tRNA (with a specific anti-codon) for a particular amino acid; and 'wobble' base-pairing, i.e. permitting non-standard base-pairing at the 3rd anti-codon position. NCBI's taxonomy places the organism in Eukaryota, Oomycota, Peronosporomycetes, Peronosporales, Peronosporaceae. The record is from Rfam.